Long non-coding RNA from Pongo pygmaeus (Bornean orangutan), 394 nucleotides. RefSeq lists it as uncharacterized. Lineage: Eukaryota; Metazoa; Chordata; Mammalia; Primates; Hominidae. The transcript is spliced from 3 exons. The record is from RefSeq and is a predicted model, not a curated record.
ACGAGCAGGGGUGGGGAGGAGGAGAGGGUACAGAGGCCAGCGGAUGAGACAGACACGAGGGAGCGUGGGAUGCCUGCCCAAGGCUCUGGCCACGCCCAUGCCCUGCCUGUCCCGCUAGGCACACAGAGGAAAGGCCAUGUGAGGACACAGCAAGAAGGCAGCCGUCUGCAAGCCAAGAAGAGAGUCCUCACUAGGAACCAACUCUGCUGACACCUUGCUGUUGGACUUCCAGCCUCUAUAAAUGUUCACAAGCACACCACUGUUUACACCCAUCUAGAAGGCCCCUCCCAGCUGAUAUCUUUCUGCUCACCUUUCAGGAAGACAGACAAAACUCUCUGCCUUCAGGUGGGGCAAGGUAGGUGGCCAGGCUGAUAGGAGAGGCGGAUGACAAACA